Molecule: ribosomal RNA, 915 nt
Filed under: uncultured Thermoplasmatales archaeon
Lineage: Archaea; Methanobacteriati; Thermoplasmatota; Thermoplasmata; Thermoplasmatales
Description: bacterial SSU rRNA
Rfam family: Archaeal small subunit ribosomal RNA
Source: RNAcentral
UUCCGGUUGAUCCCGCCGGAGGCUACCGCUAUUGGAAUCCGAUUAAGCCAUGCGAGUCGAGAGAUUUCGGAUCUCGGCAGACGUCUCAGUAACACGUGGAUAAUCUACCCUUGAGUGGGGGAUAAGCUUGGAAACCUGAGUAUAAUACCCCAUAGGCCUAGGAUGCUGGAAUGCUUCUUGGCUGAAAGCUCCGGCGCUCGAGGAUGAAUCUGCGGCCUAUCAGGCUGUAGUGGGUGUAACGGACCCACUAACCUUCGACGGGUACGGGCCAUGAGAGAGGUUGCCCGGAGUUGGACUCUGAGACACGAGUCCAGGCCCUACGGGGUGCAGCAGGCGCGAAAACUUCACAAUGUGGGAAACCACGAUGAGGGGAUUCCAAGUGCCAGCACAAUGUGUUGGCUGUUCACUUGCCUAAAAAGCUGGUGAAGUAAGGGCCGGGUAAGACGGGUGCCAGCCGCCGCGGUAAUACCCGCGGCCCGAGUGGUGGCCAUUGUUAUUGAGCCUAAAGCGUUCGUAGCCGGUUUCGUAAAUUUCUGGGUAAAUCGGACAGCUUAACUGUCCGAAUUCCGGAAAGACUGCGAAACUUGGGACCGGAGGAGGUUGGAGGUACUCCUGGGGUAGGGGUGAAAUCCUGUAAUCCUGGGGGGACCACCAGUGGCGAAGGCGUCCAACCAAGACGGCUCCGACGGUAAGGGACGAAGCCCUGGGGCGCAAACGGGAUUAGAUACCCCGGUAGUCCAGGGUGUAAACGCUGCAGGCUUGGUGUUGGGGGUCCUACGAGGGCGCCCAGUGCCGGAGAGAAGUUGUUAAGCCUGCCGCUUGGGGAGUACGUCCGCAAGGAUGAAACUUAAAGGAAUUGGCGGGGGAGCACAGCAACGGGUGGAGCGUGCGGUUCAAUUGGAUUCAACGCCGGAA